UUUUGUGGAGUUGUCGAGGUUGAGAAAGAGCUCUGAAGUUCAAGGUGACAUCAGCAAGGAUUCUCUCCUCCUGGCCCUGAUUGAAUCAGCUACAGACAUCAAUCCAGAAUUCACCAUCAGUCAACAGAACGACGCCCAUGAAUUCCUCUGCCACUGUCUGACCCAAAUGGAGGAGUCUGGGCGAUGGCUGGGUUGGCAAGAGGAUGUGGACCCUAGAUGCCCAGUCAGGGCCAAUUUCAAGUUCAAGAUGAGGAACAUUAUAACAUGCUCCAGCUGUGGAUCCCAGCAGAACAACAAAGUGGAAGUGUUUAAUCACAUCUCUCUGCCCCUGGUGCACAACUCAGUGGACGA
Pangasianodon hypophthalmus (striped catfish) is the source of this 351-nucleotide long non-coding RNA. RefSeq lists it as uncharacterized. The transcript has 3 exons. Lineage: Eukaryota; Metazoa; Chordata; Actinopteri; Siluriformes; Pangasiidae. The record is from RefSeq and is a predicted model, not a curated record.